Elaeis guineensis (African oil palm) is the source of this 690-nucleotide non-coding RNA. The record is from RefSeq and is a predicted model, not a curated record. NCBI's taxonomy places the organism in Eukaryota, Viridiplantae, Streptophyta, Magnoliopsida, Arecales, Arecaceae.
UAAGUCGCGCCACUGUGUGAAGUCACCAGAACUUUCCCAACGGCGGCCGGCUUCGUGAAGCUCCGAUCUCUCUCCAAUGGCGAGCGCGGCAUCGGCUCCUUCGAGAGGCGAAGUGCUUUCCUUGUUCCGCUCUCUCCUCCGAACGGCCGCCAAGUUCACCGACUACAACGUGAGGGAAUACGCCAAGAGGAGAGCGAUCGAUGGAUUCCGGGAGAGCCGGACGCUUUCGGAACCCUCUUCGAUUUCUUCGGCCUUCGCCGACGGGAGGAACCAGCUCGAGGUCGCAAACAGGCAGGCCAUGACGUACUCUCUCUACGCUCCAAAGGUUAAGAACGCGAUGGAGAUCAGGAGCGGAUGAGGUAUCUGAUCGAAAGGUUUUUCCAUCAGAAAGCAUAUUGCUCCUGUUCCGAUUCCUCAUUUUUGUUCAAAAGGAUGCUUCAAACCAGCAUAAAUAAGGGAUGCAGCUGCCUCAACUGAUGAAGCAUAUGUCAUAUAUGCUAGCUAUGUUGCAAGUAUGCUAUUGCUGUUAAACAUUUAUCUUUGACCCAGAGAUAAAGACCUCAACUGAAAGCUGCAACUUUAAGGUGUCGAAAAUAACUAGGAUAUUGUGAUCAUGAAUUUAAACAUUCAGACUUGUAUCAGUUUCUCUUAAUUUACAUGAAACCAAUGAUCAGAGAAUUGAGAGAAGCA